This is a long non-coding RNA of Zingiber officinale, 1041 nucleotides long. RefSeq lists it as uncharacterized. NCBI's taxonomy places the organism in Eukaryota, Viridiplantae, Streptophyta, Magnoliopsida, Zingiberales, Zingiberaceae. The transcript has 2 exons. The record is from RefSeq and is a predicted model, not a curated record.
CCUGGCCUUGAACUCUUUAGUCAGACUUAUGCUCUAUUUACUCUAAAGCGCGGAUGAGGAAGGGAAAAAAAUUUAUAGUGGAAAAUUAUCUUUGGAGGAAGAGAAGAGAAAGGGUGAAGAAAUCUCUUCUUUUGCAUGUAUAAUUUUGUGAGUUAAAAAGAGUACAUGCGUCAUUUUUUUUGGUAUAUGGUGUAAUUUUAUGAAUGAAAAGGAGUACAUGCAUCAUUUUUUUUCAUCCGUUGUUUUCCAUCCGAUUUUGAGGUGAUCGAUUUUGGUUCCAAAAUCAUCCGUUGAUGGAUUGCUCUUCUCUUCCAUCUGAAAAUUUUAAUGAAGUAAACGACGAAAACUUUUCCUUAGUUUUGAUUUCCGCUCUCCCAAGUAAACUCACCAUUAGUAAAAGUUACUAAAAACAGUGACAAGAGUGAGUGCUUGAGGUUUUGUCUUAUUAAUUCUGGAGGUAGAUGGUCUUCUUAUAUGCUUACCGGGUAGACAAGAGUGAGUAAUUGUGAAACUACUAGUGAAUGUUGAUUCAAGUUUCAUAUGACAAGUCAAAGUGUAGUCAGUGUCUCAUAGAGUCGGUAGGUUUGUAUUCAAUACACUAGUUUUUUAAUCGAUAAAUCAUAUUAUUUGUAUUUAUGAUCGUUUCACUAUUGGUUUUGCGUGUUUUUUUUUGCCACUGUCUUAGAUCCGAAUCAUGUCCCUCUUUUCUUUUCUCACUUGUGUUUCAUGCUCAUUGGAGAUCGCACUCUUUGCUUCAGUAUCGUUUUUAAGAACUCGAGCAGGCACAACUCGAUCUUGCUGUGGAAGAAGAAGAAGAGAAUGGGGCGGCUCAAGAUGAGGCAGAGAUCAAAGUAGUCCUGCAGUGGUGAUGGUAGGCAAAUCUGCAUCAGUUCAUUCUCCACAUGCUUUUGGAAGUGUGUUUUGGUAAAGAAAGAGAGCUUCGAGUGGUGUUUUCUAGUUGCUUUAGUUUAUUGUUAGGGAAAUUAAAAUAUUAUGCUUGUAGCAUUUGAUGAUUUAGACCAUUUUGCAUUAAGGGGAAAA